Molecule: ribosomal RNA, 506 nt
Filed under: uncultured bacterium
Lineage: Bacteria
Description: partial 16S ribosomal RNA
Rfam family: Bacterial small subunit ribosomal RNA
Source: RNAcentral
AGUGAACGCUGGCGGUAGGCCUAACACAUGCAAGUCGAACGGCAGCACAGGAGAGCUUGCUCUCUGGGUGGCGAGUGGCGGACGGGUGAGGAAUACAUCGGAAUCUACUCUGUCGUGGGGGAUAACGUAGGGAAACUUACGCUAAUACCGCAUACGACCUACGGGUGAAAGCAGGGGAUCUUCGGACCUUGCGCGAUUGAAUGAGCCGAUGUCGGAUUAGCUAGUUGGCGGGGUAAAGGCCCACCAAGGCGACGAUCCGUAGCUGGUCUGGGAGGAUGAUCAGCCACACUGGAACUGAGACACGGUCCAGACUCCUACGGGAGGCAGCAGUGGGGAAUAUUGGACAAUGGGCGCAAGCCUGAUCCAGCCAUACCGCGUGGGUGAAGAAGGCCUUCGGGUUGUAAAGCCCUUUUGUUGGGAAAGAAAUCCAGCUGGCUAAUACCCGGUUGGGACGACGGUACCCAAAGAAUAAGCACCGGCUAACUUCGUGCCAGCCGCCGCCGUAA